AUUGAACGCUGGCGGCAGGCCUAACACAUGCCAGUCGAGCGGAUGAAGGGAGCUUGCUCCUGGAUUCAGCGGCGGACGGGUGAGUAAUGCCUAGGAAUCUGCCUGGUAGUGGAGGAUAACGUCCGGAAACGGGCGCUAAUACCGCAUACGUCCUGAGGGAGAAAGUGGGGGAUCUUCGGACCUCACGCUAUCAGAUGAGCCUAGGUCGGAUUAGCUAGUUGGUGGGGUAAAGGCCUACCAAGGCGACGAUCCGUAACUGGUCUGAGAGGAUGAUCAGUCACACUGGAACUGAGACACGGUCCAGACUCCUACGGGAGGCAGCAGUGGGGAAUAUUGGACAAUGGGCGAAAGCCUGAUCCAGCCAUGCCGCGUGUGUGAAGAAGGUCUUCGGAUUGUAAAGCACUUUAAGUUGGGAGGAAGGGCAGUAAGUUAAUACCUUGCUGUUUUGACGUUACCAACAGAAUAAGCACCGGCUAACUUCGUG
Molecule: ribosomal RNA, 484 nt
Filed under: uncultured bacterium
Lineage: Bacteria
Description: partial 16S ribosomal RNA
Rfam family: Bacterial small subunit ribosomal RNA
Source: RNAcentral